Molecule: long non-coding RNA, 350 nt
Filed under: Sarcophilus harrisii (Tasmanian devil)
Lineage: Eukaryota; Metazoa; Chordata; Mammalia; Dasyuromorphia; Dasyuridae
Description: lncRNA (ENSSHAG00000025527.1)
Source: RNAcentral
UGGCACUCUCUCAAGCAGACACAGCUCACUCAAGUUUGUUUCUAUUUACCCAUUUAGGUCAAACUCUGUUUUAACAAUUGCCAUGUUAAUAUGGGGUUCUAUUUAGCCAAACUGUUUCCAUGGCAACCCCUCAGUUGGAAGUCCCAAGAAAACACUUUGAUGAUCAACCACAACGAAUUCAUCUUGGACUUAGUCCAGAAGCAAUGGAUUUGUUGAAGUCCGCUCUUAGAAGAAAGGAGAGAUUGUCCCAAGUCCCAAGUUUCCUCUAUAGGCAACAACAGCUGUCCUGGGGCUAGUGCUGCUGACUUCCAGUGCUGGGGUCCCUGGAGAAAGUGAGUUUAAGCUUGAAG